ACGGAGGAUCCGAGCGUUAUCCGGAUUUAUUGGGUUUAAAGGGAGCGUAGGUGGAUUGUUAAGUCAGUUGUGAAAGUUUGCGGCUCAACCGUAAAAUUGCAGUUGAAACUGGGAGUCUUGAGUACAGUAGAGGUGGGCGGAAUUCGUGGUGUAGCGGUGAAAUGCUUAGAUAUCACGAAGAACUCCGAUUGCGAAGGCAGCUCACUAGACUGUCACUGACACUGAUGCUCGAAAGUGUGGGUAUCAAACAG
This 251-nucleotide ribosomal RNA is filed under the name uncultured bacterium. Its description in RNAcentral is "partial 16S ribosomal RNA". It matches the Rfam family "Bacterial small subunit ribosomal RNA", at positions 525 to 775 of the family's 1533-position model. The record is from RNAcentral.